This 182-nucleotide ribosomal RNA is filed under the name Lachnoclostridium phocaeense. RNAcentral describes it as "partial 23S ribosomal RNA". It matches the Rfam family "Bacterial large subunit ribosomal RNA", at positions 2742 to 2925 of the family's 2925-position model. Lineage: Bacteria; Bacillati; Bacillota; Clostridia; Lachnospirales; Lachnospiraceae. The record is from RNAcentral.
AGAGUAGCCAAGCCGGGAAGGGAUAAACGCUGAAGGCAUCUAAGCGUGAAGCCCCCCUCAAGAUGAGAUAUCCCUACGUAAAGUAGUAAGACCCCUUGAAGACGACGAGGUAGAUAGGGCAGAGGUGGAAGUGUGGUAACACAUGGAGCUGACUGUUACUAAUCGGUCGAGGGCACAACCAU